CCUACGGGAGGCAGCAGUGGGGAAUAUUGCACAAUGGGGGAAACCCUGAUGCAGCGACGCCGCGUGAGUGAAGAAGUAAUUCGUUAUGUACAGCACUAUCAGCCGGGAAGAAAAUGACGGUGCCUGAGUCCGCAGCCACGGCUAACUACGUGCCAGCAGCCGCGGUAAUACGGAGGGGGCAAGCGUUAUUCGGAUUUACUGGGUGUAAAGUGAACCUAGACGGCUGGGCAAGUCUGGAGUGAAAGGCGGGGGAUCAACCCCGGGACUGCUCUGGAUACUGUCCGGCGGGAGUGCAGGAGAGGUAAGUAGAAUUCCAGGUGUAGCGGUGAAAUGCGUAGAGAUUUGGAGGAACACCAGUGGCGAAGGCGGCUUACUGGAC
This 379-nucleotide ribosomal RNA is filed under the name uncultured bacterium. RNAcentral describes it as "partial 16S ribosomal RNA". It matches the Rfam family "Bacterial small subunit ribosomal RNA", at positions 338 to 734 of the family's 1533-position model. The record is from RNAcentral.